GACGAACGCUGGCGGCGUGCUUAACACAUGCAAGUCGAACGGAAAGGCCCUGCUUUUGUGGGGUGCUCGAGUGGCGAACGGGUGAGUAACACGUGAGUAACCUGCCCUUGACUUUGGGAUAACUUCAGGAAACUGGGACUAAUACCGGAUAGGAGCUCCUGCUGCAUGGUGGGGGUUGGAAAGUUUCGGCGGUUGGGGAUGGACUCGCGGCUUAUCAGCUUGUUGGUGGGGUAGUGGCUUACCAAGGCUUUGACGGGUAGCCGGCCUGAGAGGGUGACCGGCCACAUUGGGACUGAGAUACGGCCCAGACUCCUACGGGAGGCAGCAGUGGGGAAUAUUACACAAUGGGCGGAAGCCUGAUGCAGCAACGCCGCGUGCGGGAUGACGGCCUUCGGGUUGUAAACCGCUUUCGCCUGUGACGAAGCGUGAGUGACGGUAAUGGGUAAAGAAGCACCGGCUAACUACGUGCCAGCAGCCGCGGUGAUACGUAGGGUGCGAGCGUUGUCCGGAUUUAUUGGGCGUAAAGGGCUCGUAGGUGGUUGAUCGCGUCGGAAGUGUAAUCUUGGGGCUUAACCCUGAGCGUGCUUUCGAUACGGGUUGACUUGAGGAAGGUAGGGGAGAAUGGAAUUCCUGGUGGAGCGGUGGAAUGCGCAGAUAUCAGGAGGAACACCAGUGGCGAAGGCGGUUCUCUGGGCCUUUCCUGACGCUGAGGAGCGAAAGCGUGGGGAGCGAACAGGCUUAGAUACCCUGGUAGUCCACGCUGUAAACGGUGGGUACUAGGUGUGGGGUCCAUUCCACGGGUUCCGUGCCGUAGCUAACGCUUUAAGUACCCCGCCUGGGGAGUACGGCCGCAAGGCUAAAACUCAAAGGAAUUGACGGGGCCCCGCACAAGCGGCGGAGCAUGCGGAUUAAUUCGAUGCAACGCGUAGAACCUUACCUGGGUUUGACAUGGAUCGGGAGUGCUCAGAGAUGGGUGUGCCUCUUUUGGGGUCGGUUCACAGGUGGUGCAUGGCUGUCGUCAGCUCGUGUCGUGAGAUGUUGGGUUAAGUCCCGCAACGAGCGCAACCCUUGUUCACUGUUGCCAGCACGUUAUGGUGGGGACUCAGUGGAGACCGCCGGGGUCAACUCGGAGGAAGGUGGGGAUGACGUCAAGUCAUCAUGCCCCUUAUGUCCAGGGCUUCACGCAUGCUACAAUGGCUGGUACAGAGAGUGGCGAGCCUGUGAGGGUGAGCGAAUCUCGGAAAGCCGGUCUCAGUUCGGAUUGGGGUCUGCAACUCGACCUCAUGAAGUCGGAGUCGCUAGUAAUCGCAGAUCAGCAACGCUGCGGUGAAUACGUUCCCGGGGCU
RNAcentral lists this ribosomal RNA (1346 nucleotides) under uncultured bacterium. RNAcentral describes it as "partial 16S ribosomal RNA". It matches the Rfam family "Bacterial small subunit ribosomal RNA", at positions 28 to 1381 of the family's 1533-position model. The record is from RNAcentral.